Molecule: ribosomal RNA, 468 nt
Filed under: uncultured bacterium
Lineage: Bacteria
Description: partial 16S ribosomal RNA
Rfam family: Bacterial small subunit ribosomal RNA
Source: RNAcentral
GACGAACGCUGGCGGCGUGCUUAACACAUGCCAGUCGAACGGAAAGGCCCUGCUUUUGUGGGGUGCCCGAGUGGCGAACGGGUGAGUAACACGUGAGUAACCUGCCCUUGACUUUGGGAUAGCUUCAGGAAACUGGGGCUAAUACCGGAUAGGAGCUCCUGCUGCAUGGUGGGGGUUGGAAAGUUUCGGCGGUUGGGGAUGGACUCGCGGCUUAUCAGCUUGUUGGUGGGGUAGUGGCUUACCAAGGCUUUGACGGGUAGCCGGCCUGAGAGGGUGACCGGCCACAUUGGGACUGAGAUACGGCCCAGACUCCUACGGGAGGCAGCAGUGGGGAAUAUUGCACAAUGGGCGGAAGCCUGAUGCAGCAACGCCGCGUGCGGGAUGACGGCCUUCGGGUUGUAAACCGCUUUCGCCUGUGACGAAGCGUGAGUGACGGUAAUGGGUAAAGAAGCACCGGCUAACUACGUG